CUCACCUGAGCUGAGGAGAAUCAUUUUAACCCAGAUCAUUGAGACAGCUCCUAUACCGGAUUACCUUUGGCAGUACCCUUAACAGCCAGCCACAGUUGCCAUCUGACUGAGCUACAAUCCAACGGCACCAUCCCAACAGUAACUACCUGGCCAAGUUUAAGAAUACCACCACACAACCCUCCUAGAGGCUCAGCAAACGUGUUGUUCACAAGGAGUUUGAAGUGACAAGGUCCAGCAACCCAGGCUUCUCUGCUUCCUGGUGUGAUCAGCAGAGAAAUGCAAAGAGGCAAGGGAAACAUGACGCCCCAGACCGGAAUCUUUAGAUGUGUCUUCCAAAUAGAAGUGGCCAAGUGCCUAGAAGACUUAAAUGAACAGCGGAGGAUGCCAGUGUUAAGGGAGGAUACGGGCUCGUUUCCAGCAAGCAAUGGGAGAAAAAUGAUGGAAAAUAGGAAGAAGCUCGACUCUGGGAAAGGGUUAACGAGAGAGAGUUUGCGGCUUGAUCUAACAAAGGCUAAAAGAGCAAAUGUGUAACGCUUUCCUCCUGCGGCUUCAAGGCGGCUUAUAUCCAUCUAGAAGUAAAUUUUUGAGAGCCUGGAAAAUCAUUUCAAUACCUCAAAAACCCAACAACUGAUAAGCCUUAAGCGGCAAGGAGAAACUUUUGUAAAGAAUGAACGAUUAACUCUUGAAGGUGAAAUCCCUUUGCCUAAACACAUUUGUAGGAGCAUCCUUUCUCGCGAACCAGGAACUGCUCUCAGCCAAGCGAGCAAGGGUCCCGUCUGUGCAGCUGCAGGAGAUGCGAGCCCUAGGCUGCUGAUAGAGACCAGCGGCACUACUCCUGUCUAUUUUUUUUUCUUCAUUGAAGUCAGGGGUUGAGGGAUAGAAAGGUACUCUUGGCCCCCAAGGUAAGAAUCAUAGAUUUGGUUCUUGUUCCGCAAAUGCAGGGAUCCCAUGGUAAAGUGGACUGGCCGGCUCCAAGCUGUCGCGCUACGCUCUGAGAUCGUCUGUCCCAGAAUUGCCAAAACGCCCGGGAACUUUAAAGAGGACGCCCGAAGCACCCUGAAAGCCACCUGGCCAAUUUGGUGCAACUGUGACUGUUCGUUUUUUCCAUUCUUAGGGGUUUGGAAUCAGGAGACGGGAGUCGGGAAAAGAGUGGAUUGCAGAAGAAUGUGGAAUUCACUGCAAACCAAAAUCAUGAAAAACAUCUAAAUAAAAAAGAAAACUG
This is a long non-coding RNA of Mastomys coucha (southern multimammate mouse), 1222 nucleotides long. RefSeq lists it as uncharacterized. Lineage: Eukaryota; Metazoa; Chordata; Mammalia; Rodentia; Muridae. The transcript is spliced from 2 exons. The record is from RefSeq and is a predicted model, not a curated record.